This is a long non-coding RNA of Gossypium arboreum, 501 nucleotides long. RefSeq lists it as uncharacterized. Lineage: Eukaryota; Viridiplantae; Streptophyta; Magnoliopsida; Malvales; Malvaceae. The transcript has 3 exons. The record is from RefSeq and is a predicted model, not a curated record.
ACUUUAAUCUCAGCAGGUUGUUAUACUUGAUUCUCUCUCCCUUUAGGUCCUUUUGUCAAUUUCCUUCUUGUUCUAGGCUGCAUUGCCUAUAACCUCGGAACCGGCAGUGGUACAUCUGUGCUUGAAAUGGUUGCUGCUUUUGAGAAAGCUUCUGGAAAGAAAAUCCCCAUUAAACUAUGCCCCAGAAGGCCAGGAGAUGCUACAGCUGUUUAUCCUUCCACUGAAAAAGCUCAAAAAGAACUUGGUUGGAAAGCAAAAUAUGGUAUAGCAGAGAUGUGCAGAGAUCAGUGGAAGUGGGCAAGCAACAAUCCAUGGGGAUACUAGUCAAAGCCUUAGGUUGCAACUAAAUACUAAUUUUCUUCCCUAGUGUUUUAAAAAUGUUUCAUAGGGAGAAUUAAGUGUACAAAUACUUGUUUAAUUUAAACAAAACUGAUCUUUGAUGAUCAAAAGUUAGGAUUUAUCAAAUGUUCAAAGAUCUUAUAAAAUUCCUUUGUGUUAUAA